RNAcentral lists this transfer RNA (73 nucleotides) under Stegodyphus mimosarum. It matches the Rfam family "tRNA". Rfam says of the family: Transfer RNA (tRNA) molecules are approximately 80 nucleotides in length. Lineage: Eukaryota; Metazoa; Arthropoda; Arachnida; Araneae; Eresidae. The record is from Rfam by way of RNAcentral.
GCCUUUGUGGCGUAGUGGUCAGUCCGCUUGACGAGUAAUCGAGAGGUCCGUGGUUCGAUUCCUGGCGAAGGCG